Molecule: ribosomal RNA, 253 nt
Filed under: uncultured bacterium
Lineage: Bacteria
Description: partial 16S ribosomal RNA
Rfam family: Bacterial small subunit ribosomal RNA
Source: RNAcentral
UACGUAGGGGGCAAGCGUUGUCCGGAUUUAUUGGGCGUAAAGAGCGUGUAGGCGGCCAGACAGGUCAGCUGUGAAAACUCGAGGCUCAACCUCGAGACGUCGGUUGAAACCGUCUGGCUAGAGUCCGGAAGAGGAGAGUGGAAUUCCCGGUGUAGCGGUGAAAUGCGCAGAUAUCGGGAAGAACACCCGUGGCGAAGGCGGCUCUCUGGGACGGGACUGACGCUGAGACGCGAAAGCGUGGGGAGCGAACAGG